This 477-nucleotide ribosomal RNA is filed under the name Haplophallus sp. KY-2002. Its description in RNAcentral is "partial 16S ribosomal RNA". The stretch from base 356 to 477 matches the Rfam family "Bacterial large subunit ribosomal RNA", at positions 2473 to 2595 of the family's 2925-position model. The record is from RNAcentral. Lineage: Eukaryota; Metazoa; Arthropoda; Insecta; Psocodea; Philotarsidae.
UAUGGAAAGUCCAAUCUGCUCACUGAAUUUUUUUAAAGAGCCGCGGUAUUUUAACCGUGCAAAGGUAGCAUAAUCAAUAGUUUUUUAAUUGAAAACUUGUAUGAAAGAUUAGAUGAAAAAAUGAUUUUCUUUUUUUAAAAGAUUUAAAUUAAAUUUUAAGUGAAAAUUCUUAAAUAUUUAAAAAAGACGAGAAGACCCUAUAGAUUUUUAUUAUUUAAAAUUUUAUUAAUAAAUGAAAGUUUAAAAUAAUUUAAUUGGGGUGAUUUUGUAAAAUAAAAAACUUAAUAUUAUAUUACCAAAAAUAAUUGAAUUUUUUGAUCUAAAAUUUUUUAUUAUUAAAAUAAAUUACCUUAGGGAUAACAGCGUAAUUUUAUUUAAGAGUUCAUAUCUAAAGUAAAGUUUGCGACCUCGAUGUUGAAUUAAGAUAAAUUAUUGAAGCAGAAAUUAAUAUUAUUAGUCUGUUCGACUAUUAAAUUC